UCCCACCCAUCAAUGCUCCAGACACAGAGCUGUGCAUCAGCCCCUGACGAGACAAGCACAUUCAAAGAUUGGGAGAAUGCAAGGCCUGUAAUUUUCUUCUGGUGGCCCUUGAGCUUAGUUUUGACCUCAUCAAUCCGAACAUUGUAUAUCUGGACGGUUGAAUCUUCCAUUCCUAUCGCAACGAUAUUGUUAUCUUGAGGGUGGAAUGCAAGGAAGGUGGCAGCAGGAGGAGGCGGC
This 237-nucleotide unclassified non-coding RNA is filed under the name Hevea brasiliensis (rubber tree). Lineage: Eukaryota; Viridiplantae; Streptophyta; Magnoliopsida; Malpighiales; Euphorbiaceae. The record is from RNAcentral.